Molecule: transfer RNA, 70 nt
Filed under: Scaphiopus holbrookii (eastern spadefoot toad)
Lineage: Eukaryota; Metazoa; Chordata; Amphibia; Anura; Pelobatidae
Description: tRNA-Thr
Rfam family: tRNA
About the family: Transfer RNA (tRNA) molecules are approximately 80 nucleotides in length. Their secondary structure includes four short double-helical elements and three loops (D, anti-codon, and T loops).
Source: RNAcentral
GCCUCAGUAGCUUAAUUAAAGCAUCGGCCUUGUAAGCCGAAGAUUGGAGAAUAAUCUCCUCCCUAAGGCU